CUUGGAUUUGCAGAAGAUUAUAACAAGAUAUUACUCAAAGGAAAGCAUGAACUUAUUCUAUUACGAGAAAUGAAUAAUGAUGGUGUUUUUAAAAGUACUGAUGCUGUUGCUGCAAACAUCUCAAAAUUGAAGAUGACAUUUUCUAGCAUUGUAUGGAAAAUACCUCAUGUACAAUUGUCUGAUGCUUAUAAAUUAUACAUUUUUAAAGUAAUAAACAAGCAAACACCGCUAUUGCUAUCAUUCAGGAGUUGGGAUAUCUAUUAUAAUCCAGUAGUUCCAGAGAGUACUUCAUUUGUAUGGAACUAACUGAUCCGGCGAACUCGCACCGCCUAACAGUCAAUGAAUGUCGUGUUACUUUUAGCUGAACUAAUUUAGGCUUUGAUGAACGUAAAAAAAUGAUACAAAAUAAUAUGUUUAUAUAGAUAGAAACAAAAAAGUACCAACUUGAUAGCGCGUGAUUUCAUCGUUGGUAGUGGAUGUUUGGAUACCAAAAACCGCCAUGUCGCUCCCUUUCGUGACAAAUUUGCAAAAGUAUUUAAUUGACUUGACCGAAUUGCAAUCACGUGGCAUGCGCUCUAAAUCAGUCUUGAACAGCCUGACCAAUGCAUGAUGUUCAUUAGGCAUUUGCUGUAGAUCUUGGAGAAUUGCUCUAUUCGUAGCUGUGUCGAUCCCUUGACGCCUGUCAAGUUGUUCUUCCAUAUUGCCCAUAUUGCAAGAAUUUAUGCUGUGCAUCUUCUAUAGGUUGCAAUGAUCCAAUGCGAUGGUAAUAGGAUUUUAGAUCUUGAAAUGACUUUUAGUGUUUGUCGGAAAUCGCCAGAAAAUAAAAUCAUUGCACCACCAAAACAUCUCGAGUCAUUGCGCAGAUCUUUUAAUGUUCGGUCUAGUGCUUCCAAUGCUCGUUUGUGCGCCAUUGAACAUGCGUCCCAUAUGAUGAUUUUUGAUGCUACUAAAACUUUGGCCAUUGCGUAGUUUUUCGAAAUGUUACAUGUCGGUUGUUCAGUAGUUUGAAGGUUUAAUGGCAAUUUUAACGCUGAGUGAGCCGUGUGGCCGCUAUUCCAGAAGAAGCAAUUGCUACCACAAUUUCAGAUCUCGCACGUACAGUGGCCAAAAUCAAUGACAUGAGGAAUGUCUUCCCAGUUCCACCGGGGGCAUAAAAAAAAAAUAAGCCGCCAUUUCCAUCAUCAAUUGCAUUAAUCAGUGUAUCAUAGACUUCCCUCUGCUUAGGAUUCAACAGAGGUAUAUUCGUUUGAACUGAUUAUGUGGAUCAUAUUCAUGUUUACGUUCCAAUUCUCUAUUAAAUGCGUCAUUUCAUUCCGCGAUCUGGCGCUGGCAUUCCUAACCUAACUAACAAACUGCCGCACAUGAGGUAACACAUAUCUUCGAUCAAGAGCAAAGUCUGGUUCGUAAUCGUAAUUUCUUGAGCUGACGCGAAUUCCAUGUAAAAUAUCUUCAAGUGGGUUCGAUGGGAAGCAUGUUGAAAUGAUGAUAGCAAAUAAUGUGCGUAUCUGACUU
Molecule: long non-coding RNA, 1512 nt
Filed under: Drosophila guanche
Lineage: Eukaryota; Metazoa; Arthropoda; Insecta; Diptera; Drosophilidae
Source: RNAcentral